This is a non-coding RNA of Pangasius djambal, 72 nucleotides long. The record is from the annotation of a GenBank genome assembly. NCBI's taxonomy places the organism in Eukaryota, Metazoa, Chordata, Actinopteri, Siluriformes, Pangasiidae.
UCCCUGGAGGACUAAUGGUUAGGCCUUGGCAAUCUCACCGCCACAGCCUUGGUUCAAUUCCCGGCCAGGGAA